CGGCUGUGAUGACUACUUAGGACACCUUUGGAUUAAAUCAUGAAAAUAACUUGAAUAAGAUCUGAGCUUG
Molecule: small nucleolar RNA, 70 nt
Organism: Scomber japonicus (chub mackerel)
Lineage: Eukaryota; Metazoa; Chordata; Actinopteri; Scombriformes; Scombridae
Product: small nucleolar RNA SNORD58
Exons: 1
Source: RefSeq, a predicted model, not a curated record